UGGGGAAUCUUGCGCAAUGGACGAAAGUCUGACGCAGCCACGCCGCGUGAGUGAAGAAGGCCUUCGGGUUGUAAAGCUCUGUCGAGCGGGACGAACAAGCUUAGGGUGAAUAGCCCUAGGCCCUGACGGUACCGCUAAAGGAAGCACCGGCUAACUCUGUGCCAGCAGCCGCGGUAAUACAGAGGGUGCAAGCGUUGUUCGGAAUUAUUGGGCUAAAGGGCAGGUAGGUGGUCUUGUUUGUCUGGGGUGAAAGCCUUGAGCUUAACUCAAGAAGUGCCUCGGAAACGGCAAGACUCGAGUCCUAGAGAGGGUCGUGGAAUUCCCGGUGUAGCGGUGAAAUGCGUAGAGAUCGGGAGGAACACCAGAGGCGAAAGCGGCGACCUGGAUAGGUACUGACACUCAACUGCGAAAGCGUGGGAGCAAACAGGAUUAGACACCCUGGUAGUCCACGCCGUAAACGAUGGGUACUAGGCUUGGU
This 478-nucleotide ribosomal RNA is filed under the name uncultured bacterium. RNAcentral's name for it is "bacterial SSU rRNA". It matches the Rfam family "Bacterial small subunit ribosomal RNA", at positions 355 to 826 of the family's 1533-position model. The record is from RNAcentral.